UGAAGAUAAUAGCAAUUGAAUCUGGGACCUUCUCUAUGCAAAACAGGUGACCCACCACUGAGCUAUGGCCCCGUGUUGCAUUAUUUGCAAGCGUAUCCCAGGCAGCUGGGAGAACUUCUAAAUAAUUCAUACCUUGUGGACAGGGCCAGUCAUCCAGGUCUUUCCCACAGAAUCAGCAGACAAAUGAUCUAACCACUUGAAUGGGCUGAUGACACAGAGUUGUCUUUGACAUGAUGCUCAUUCCAUAGGAAAGAUGCAUUCAGUCAGCUUAGUUCAGGUGGUUGGGUCAUUUCAAUGAGGCUUCCAGAAAUGUCAGGUUUGACACGGAUAAGCAGCUCCUGCAUAUCUGAGAAUGUAUUUUAAGAGUAAUAUGCAUGAAGCAACUUUGUGUUACUCAUUUGUAUUUACUUAAUUCUACUGCUGAUCUGAAGGUUCUCUAGUGAGAAUUUUUGGCUCGAAUUAUUGGGGGAAAGAGGUCAGGAGACAAAAGCAGUCUCUUUCUUGCUGGCUUAGCUCCCCUCUACCAUGUACUAGUAUGUGUGUUUCUUUCGGAUGUCGACUUGACAACUUUUUAAACUGUUCCUGUCCUUCUGCAAGCUGACUUUUUCCUGCUUAAAAGCUUUACAAUGUCUCUACUGCCAACUGUAUGUGUAGAAUUUUGCUACUAAAGGAAUGACAUACCUAACAUAGAGUAGUUUCAUACUUGUUUUAUGGUCUUGUCAUGUGACAUAACUUACAAUGAUGUUACCUUAGCCAGAAGAGUAAUGUCAGGAAGAUUGAAUUGGGAUCCACGCCUAGAACCUGGCACUGUCAGGCGUUCAGGGCACUUGCUAGCAGAGCCAUUGCAACUCAGUGCCUGCUCUAAUAAGCCCUUGAGUGGACAUACUCUGAUUGGCCAAUUGCAAGAUGCAUCCAUAAUAGCGCCCAUGGAGCAAUAUCUUGCUUGGAGAUGUUCCUACAGGGUCCAGCUCAAUAUUCCUGCCUCCUGCUUUUUGAAUCUUCCCAUGCUUACCCUCCAGCUUUGGUAAAACCUUCCGGUAAUUAUUUGUGGUCUCGUCUGGUGCUUGCUCUCCAUCGAUUUGGUAUCUGCUGGUGCACCAGCCAUGAAUCCAGCAUUUCCCCAGCUUACUCUCUUGAGGAGGUUGCUUAUGUUCCUGGCCAACCUAACACACAGAUGCUGCGCUUGUUGGUUCUGGAUGGUCAGGGUGGUUCCCCCCCCCCCCCGAUUCCCCAACUUUUUUUUGACUGCUUGCAUGUAUCCGGGUUGAGGUAGUAGGUUGUAUGGUUUAGAAUUACACCAAGGGAGAUAACUGUACAACCUCCUAGCUUUCCUUGGGUCUUGCACAAAACAGCGAGCGUGGUGAAAAGGCUGUGAUCCUUGGAGAACAUUUUGCUCUGCACACACAAAUUAAGAAGUGAAAGGUAAGGUUUGUUUUGUGAUUUUUAAAAAUAUAUAUAUAUAGAAAACCAAGUGGGAUUUUCAUUAACAAGGUCUUCCCACAACAAAAAUAAAUCCGUAUGAUGGGUGGGCAACAUGCACCCAACAGGCUUCUGGGGGCAGUUCAUAUAGCCCAGAGACUCUUGUUAGAAAAAACCUAGACAUUUCAGUUUAGUGUUUUUGUUGUUGUUUUAAAUCAAACUUCUAGUUGUUACUCCAAUGAAAUACCUGGCUUCAUCUAGUGUACUGGAGAGUAUGACCCUUUUCUUUGGUUUUUUACUGUCACUGGUUGCUGGACCAUUUCUGGGCUCAGUUCAAAAUGCUGGUUAUCACAUUUAAAACUCUAAGUGAUUUUGAAUGAGAAUAUCUGAAGGGCCACUUUCUCACAUACUAUCUUAUCUCCACUCUAAGAUCAACUAGGGAAGACCCGUUUGUGCAUCCCACUUCUAUUGGAGGUCCAGUUGAUGAAGUUGUGUGGAAGGACAUUCUCCUUUUCAGUUCCCAGGUUAUGGAACUCCCUGUCCUGGGAAAUCUGUCUGGACGACCAUUUCCCCCCACAAUGCUCUUGAAUGAUCCUGCACCUAGGAAAUGGUGGUAGGGAAGUAACAGCUACCAGCAGCCGUGCCCAGUUCUUCCUACUCCAUCAAGUCAUAGACCUCCAGUGGAACAUGUAAUAUGGUCCCUCAGUCUUACACGUGAGAGAGACUUGGCGCCCUUUCCAGCAUGUUGAUACAAGUUUCCUUGGUUCAUGGUAGUAUCUCAGAAGUAUGACAUACCCAUUGCCUAAUGGUAGGCAACUUUUGUGUUAAUGCAAAUUCCGUUGUAUGCGGAGAGUGCAGCACAAGUUAAAGGUGAGCCUCUGGCUUUCAAUACCUUUUCAAGGUGUCCCUCAAAGUUGAAUGUGUUAUCUCUCCUGGCUUUAGCACAUUCAGCAGUCCAAUCACACGCAUUUCCCUCAGCAGGUUUAAAAGCUACACAUUCAAUAGGGCACCUGGACCGCAUAAUGUCUGUUUUGAUUGUGGCUGCAAUUUGGAAAUUACUUAGGAGCAUGAGCAUCCAUGUCCUGCAUUACGACUCUGGUUUUUUGUUUUGCACCUGGACCCAGUGAAGAUGUGAGACACCAGUGAUGGAGUAAAAUGGGCCACAAAUUAUCGAUUAACAUUUGAUAAACGGAAGAGGAGUGGCACUCCACCUCCUACAGUGUGGAAGCUAAAUACUUGCUGCUGCCACAUGAAUCAAACCUGAACGCAUAGGGCAGCACACCUUGGCUCCAGGCAGCAUAAACCCUAGGGCCAAUUGCUGCCCAUCUUAGCGCAUCUAAUGUGAAGGCAUCUGCCUCAGGAUUCACCAUCCCCAAGCUGCCAAGCCUUUAAGGCUGGUGAUUCCAUAACAGGUUGGAGUAAUUCUUCUUCCAACGUUCCCUGAGCCACAAAGAUUCUAGGGAGUGGCAAAGACUCCUCCCUACGCCAAAUGCGUGCCUGAAGGUGCUCACCAACCCUCAAAUACCCAUGUAAACUGCACUGCUCCUGCUGUUGUGACAAGGAAACCUAACUGGUCCUAACAAUGGCCGAUUGUGCGAGGUAGGCAAAACUGGCUUCUGGCCAAGGCCAAUCUGCCAGAAGUCCAAAAAAUUCCUACCCAUCUCCCCAAAGGACAAGUUAAAGCCCACACUAUGGUCAGGGAUGGUCAGGAGGGGUUGCUUCUUUGCCAAAGACUGACGGAACUGGACCACAUCCCAGCAAUGGCCGCACAAGCCCCACCCCCACAGGCCCACCCGCCAGUGGCUGGCUCCAUAGUGCCUCAUGCCUCACUCAGAGGCUGGGGCAAAGAGCCUGCCCCCCAGACGAAUUGGGGGAGGGUACAACCAAGUUCUGCACAUAUGUUUUGCUCACUGCUUUUAUUUUUUUGAACCCUGAAGAUUAUAGAGUUUGGAGAAAAAUAAUAAUAAAGGGACACAAAGAUAGGGGUGAAAUAUUUUAACUUUUUAUCAAAGUACAUCCCUGCAUUUAAUAACAAUAAAAAUCCCACAACUCUUUUUGCCUAGAAAACUAGAUGCCCAAGAGAAGGUUAGGCUGGAGUUCUCCUCCCUGCUAUGUUAACUUUCUGUGGAAUGGACAGUUUUGAUGUGGAGGUGCACUUAAUCAUGCAAUCUCUCACCUGAAUUAUGAGGUAGGAACGUCCAAGCUGGGGGGUUGCCUUGAAUGCUUUUCCUGAAUGUGUUCAUCACACAGGGCUUAUUGGUAAUACUCCUCUACUUCUAAGGAAACUUUUAACUUGUUUAAUUAAUUUGGUUUAUUUUAUUAGUUUUAUUUUACAUUGUAUCUAUUUUAUUGUUCUGAGCCACCCUGAGCAGUAGUGUACUGGAGGGGCGGAAUAUAAAUAUUUUAAAUGAAUAAGGAAAUGAAGCUGUACUCAUUCCCAUGGGGCUCAACCAGCAGUGUCAAGCGUUGGGAUCAAGGGUGCAGUCUCAGCACUUCCAUUUUCUGCAGUUUCUGUAGAUGUGCAAAGGGCUUCAGUUUCAUUGAUCUACCCCUUGUCCACUUGGCUGUCAUAGAACUGAGGGGGCAAAGUACAAACUUCUCAGGGGCGACUUUCUGCAUUGCUUGGAAGUCUCCUGGAGAAAAAGGAUAUGUGUUGCAAGGAUCCCAGAGGCAAGCUGCCAACUAGAUGUACCCUACAAUUGGAUAAUGCUUUUGAAAUAUGUGACGAGAGGCUGCCAAUGUGUUUAAGUUAUAUAACUUGCAAUAACAAAGCAUGUGCUUCGACUCCAUUAUGUCUUCAAAAGGAAUAUGGGUAUCAUAACUCUGUAAUCUCUUAAGAGCUGGCAUUUGCACUCUAUUAAAGUUGAUCUUGGAACGUGCAUUUUAUUAUGUUUAAAACACAUAUUAUUAUUUAUUUAUUAUUUAUUUAACACACUUCUAUACCGCCCAAAACUCACGUCUCUGGGUGGUUUAUAACAAACAAACAAAAAGCUAAAACAUUAGCUAAAAUAAAUGACAACAAAAAACUUAACAGUAAUUAAAACAAAAUAAAUGACAUAGUAAAGUUAAAACAUUACAAUUUAAAUUUUUAAAACAACAUUUUAAAAUGAUGCUAAAACUGUUAAAACAAUAAAUAAUUAAAAGCCUGCGUGAAUAGGUGCAUGAAUAGGUGCAUGAACAUAUGACUAGUUCACAUUUAGGAACUAGGCUUAAAACAUUUUAAUGGGCUCCUCUUCUAUCCAACCUUUUGAUCUUUAUUGAAAGUAGAGGAGGAGACAUUCUCAGGUGGGCAAAUUCCAUUAACUUGGGGGAUUAACUUUCAAUCUACACCACCUGGGCAUCUGGUCUAGCCUCUUGCUUUCUCCAUUUGCUUGCUUCUUAUAUCUCUAAUCGAUGGAAUGGUAGACUUUAUGUGUAUGUAGAUAUUUUGCUAUAUCCAAUGCAGGCUGGUAGGAAAUCAAGCUAAUGCUGUCAAAAGUUCCUUAAUUGUAAACUACUGAACAGAUAAUGGAAGCCUGAAAAUGAUGAGAGCAUUGUGUGUAUUGUGUGACGGCUAUGAGGAUUUCAUGAGUGAAAAUGACACUAGCAAUACAAGGUGGCUAUUUAGUAAUUUCAGAAAAAGAGCAUCCCUGAUAAGAAUAUUGGACUGUUGAUUAAUUAAAGCAUUCCUAAUAUAUCCUCAUGUGCCCUUCUAUCGUAUGUCCUCCAUAUGUCCUCCUGUCGUAUAUUUUCCAUAUGUCUUGCUAGUUAAUUAGUCUUCCAUCAUAUGGCUUCCAUCACAUUAAUUAGAUUUCUGGAGCAUGUGCCAGUGUUGCAAGUGUGGACUUUUUGCAGUGGGCACAGGAACAGCCACUCCAUACCUUUCAGCCUUUGAGCAACAGAACACAAGAAGAAGAAACAGAAGGAAAACAGAGUGAUGGGAUCUGGGAGGAUCUCCCCAAACUUCUCACAUCUUGGAGAGUGCAGAGAUGAAAAAACAUCUACUUGAUAUCCCCUGAAGAAGAGCCACUUAGCUUGAUACAUGUCAGGAUCUGAUAUUUCCUAUUAAUGAUACCUUUGAAAAAUCUUCUCAUCUUUCGUCAUGAAAUUCUGAAAUUUGAGAUGGGCUUCAUUGAUUCAUUCAAAGUGGAAAAGAAGAUUCAUUAACUCCUGAGGAGAUUUCCCUGCAACACCUCCGUUCAGGAGUGCCCACGAACAAGCCCACUCCUCCUUCUAUGCAACAUCCCUUCAAGCAUUUGAAGACUGCUAUCAUAACCCCCUUGGUCUUCUCUUCUCCAGGGGUCAUCUCUUUCGAGUUCUGUGGACACCCCAUUCUCAUGAAAAAUGGUAAGUCUGACAGUUAGUCCUCUGUCUGGUACUCACUGGAAGGCUUUUCACUUGAUUGAUUGUGUGGCUUUUAACUAAUUAAUUGACCAAUUAAAUGCAAAAUUUGCAAAAGCUCCAUUAAAGUGUAUUGAGGAUUCUGGAGGAAAGUGACUGCUUAAGUAUAAGGUAGUCUCCCUUUUUUUUUUUUUUUUUGGAAGAACCUACCACUUAUUGCUCAAAAGUAGGAACAUACCCUGCAGUAAACACCCUAAUAAAUAAUAAAUGUUUAUUAAUAUUCACUGAAUUUAUAUCCCACUCUUGCUCCAAGGAGCCCAGAGUAGGGUACAUUGUUCUGUUUACCGUCACAACAACCCCUGUGAGAUACAGUAGGUUAAAGGUAAAGUGUGCCGUCAAGUUGAUUUCGACUCCCAGCACCCACAGAGCCCUGUGGUUGUCUUUGGUAGAAUACAGGAGGGGGUUACCGUUGCCUCCUCCCAUGCAGUAUGAAAUUAUGAUGCCUUUCAGCAUCUUCCUAUAUUGCUGCUGCCAGAUAUAGGUGUUUCCCAUAGUCUGGGAAACAUACCAGCAGGGAUUCGAACCGGCAACCUUCUGAUUGUUUGUCAAGCAUUUCCCUACUACGCUACUACAGACUGUCCCAGAGUCGCCCAGUGAGUCUCAUGACUGAAUGCAGAUUUGAACUCUGGUCUCCCUGGUCCUAGUCCAACACUCUAACCACCCCAUCCACAUUGCUUUCACUUUUAGAUGCUUUCCUUGCUGUAUAAGAGCCACAUGUGCACAAGCAGUCGCUGCAGAACUGGGGAGUGGGAGGACAUAAAUGACUCAACCAUGAGGCAGAGACUGAUCCGAUGGGUCUCCCCAGGUCUUUUGCACCACAAUGGGAGAAAGGAAGCAGAUUCCAUUGACACAAAUUUUCCCCAUUUAACUGUUCAUACAGGACUUGCAGAAGUUUGUCAUAGAUCAGCACUUGCCAUGCUGCUGGGAGAAUUUGAAAAGGGCACUGUAGUAAAUAAAUGUGUUAAAAUAAAGAAGUUCAAGGUCCAGCAGUAUGGUGGAUGCCCCAGAUAAAAAAAGAUGUACUGCUGUUAAUUUCAGUUGAGCACUAUGUGUUUUGGCUAACCAUAGUUCCUACAGUGAAGGGGGAAAAAAGCCACUGCAAUUUCACCCUAAAAAACGACCAUUAGAAACAUAAGAAGCUGUCUUAGUAAGGCCCUUGGUCCUUGUUAGCUCAGUAUUGUCUAUACCAGAGCUGCUCAACUUCGGCCCUCCUGCAGAUGUUGGCCUACAACUCCCACAAUCCCUGGCUAUUGGCCACUGUGGCUGGGGGUUAUGGGAGCAGUGGUCCAAAAUCAGCUAGCGGGGGCGGGGGGCUAGGUUGAGCAGGCCUGGUCUUCACUGACUGGCAGCAGAUCUCCAAGGUUUCAGGCAGGAGCCUUGCCCUGCCCUACCUGGAGAUGCUGCCAGGGAGUGAACCCGGGACCUUCUGCACGCAAAGCAGAUGGUCUUCCAUUGAACUAAGGUCCCAUCCCCUAAGGGGAAUAUCUUACAUAGAUAUUGCUAUGAGAUAGUGCUCUCAUGUAGUCCCCCAUACAAAUGCAAACCAUGGCAGAUUGUUCCCCAAGGGGACAAUGCCCAAGUCUGGACAUUAAUGCUUGCUACACAAGACUAGCUCUCCUUCUUAAAGUGUUAGCUUUAGGGACAAAUUAGAUUAUUUUAUCGCCAUAUCUAGGAGGUUGCCAGUGUAUCUAUGUGGCAAGUGAUAGCCUUAAAUCAUGGGCAACAUCACUUACCAUUUGUGAUGGGCCUACAGUGCUGUUUUGUCCUUGUUUGUGUGCACAGAGUUGCUUCACGCCAUGGACAUUUUUCCUUCCCACAUGACCUCCUAAGGGGGUCGGUUAAAAAGGUACAAGGAAAGGAGAGAAUCUUCAUUACAUUUCAGCCCACAACAAUACUAUUUUCUGCAAGGGAAAAAACUGAAGAUGAUUUCAAGGCAACUGACUUAAUAUUGCUUACCAUUCCACAAGCAGACUAGUCCGCAAAGAGUAGUAAUUCCAGAGUGUUAAAAUGUAAAGUAAAGUGUGCCAUCAAGUCGAUUUCGACUCCUGGUGCGCCCACAGAGCCCUGUGGUUUUCUUUGGUAGAAUACAGGAGGGGUUGACCAUCGCCUCCUCCUGCUCAGUCUGCAUCUUCCUAUAUUGCUGCUGCCUGGCCGAUAUAAUACCAGUGGGGAUUCAAACCGGCAACCUUCUGCUUGUUAGUCAAGCAUUUCCCCACUGUGCCACUUAAAAUGUAUACCAGGCGAAAUCUGUGCACACUAUAUUUUUGGAACCACAUUCAUCCUUUGAGUUUUAAAAAAUGACAUUGUAAACCAGGGCUGGCAUUGUUGAUAGGCAAUGGCAGGCAGCUACUGGGGGGUUCAAUAUCCUCAGGAGGGCCCACUGAUGAUCCCCCAGACCACCCUUAUGCCCAUAGCCUUCUUUUCAUGGCGGCAGAAGCACACUUGGGGCCCAUCUGGGUAGGGUGGCCCCCAGGGGCAUAGCUAGGUGAGAGGGGGCCCGUGUUCAUCCCUCUCUCUGGAAGCCCCCCAGAGUGAGGGAGAUAAUGAAGAAAUUAGGGAGGGCUGGAGCUGGAGGGCCUCAGGAGCUGGGGGCUCGUGUUCUUUGAACCCUUUCGCUCAAUUAUAGCUACGCCCCUGGUGGCCCCAAGAAACCAGGAGCUGGCCUUGCUUAACACACACACACACACACACACACACACACACACACACACACCCCCUCAGCUUUCGUAGUUUCAGCACACAUUUAAAAAAAAAUGGGGGGUGGGUGGGUAGUAAGAGAACAUUCCAGUUUUAUAGAGGUGGGGUCUUUGUAAGCACUUUCCCUAAGCGCCCCUCUGGAGAUGUAGUUACAGUAUAUUCAGGGCAAGUCUCAUAAAUCAAGAAAAUCGUUGGAAUAACCUGGAAGCCUGCCAGGGCUGAAAGCCCAUCAAGCGAAAUUCUUUCCUUGUUCAAGGGAGGGGGGGAAAUCAGAGUUAAAAGGACAGAAUGAAACUACUACGGUUCUUUGCCUAAUUUAGAUUUAAGCUUCCUUUUGUUACAUUGAGUGUGAGGAAGGUGGCUGUAUUUUGGUUAAUACAGAAGCAAAACUGUACUUUUUCGUGACAGAACCCCCCUUCCUGGGCCUCCCAUCUGCCUGCCAGAUUCUGUUUCAGGACCAGCGCCACAGCUGUCCACAGCUGUAAGUUUCCCAGCUCCACACAACUGGCUUUUUCACUCAGAAAUGGUGUGUGUGCGCUUCAAAAAAGUAUUUUCUCAAGCAGAUUGCUAAAGUCCAGUGCCAUGUAAAAGCUUGCGCUUCAGGCAGGAUUACCAUUUUGUCGUGUGGUUACAGGGCUUUAGCUUCCUUUCCCUCCUAUAUCAUUUAUACCCUCCAAACUAAAGGACAGCCUGGUAAGACUUUUACCUCAGUAUUUUCCCCCAAGAAAGAACCCCUCUCUUUCCUCAACUCAAUUUCUCUAAAACGCCAGACAACAUAAGAAGGACCCCCUCUUUAUUUAUUAUUUACUAUUUAAAUUUGUAUACCACCCUUUGUUCUCAGAUCCCAGGGCAGUAAACAAUAACAGAAUUUCAGUAAACACAUCUUCAAAACCAAACAGACACAGCUACAAACACUAAAAGAAGAGCCCCAACUUAGUUUUUUUUAGAAUGCCAGACAAUAAUUUUACCUCAAUAUUUCCCAAGAAAGAUUCCCUUUCUACCACCCGAUUGAGGCAGACAUACUGAAGAGAAUUAUUCAAACCUCCCUGAGCCAUUUUGGAGGGGCGGUACACAAAUCAAUUCAAAUCAAAUCAAAUAAAUACAUACAUACAUAAUAAAGUUAAGGAAUUCUUAACUUGUCCUUUUAAUUUCAGUGAGACUGCAUUGAGUAACAGUAUGCCAGCCAGCAUCUCCAGAAAUUCUUUACCUUCCUUCCCCAACCCAAUUAUGUUUUACUUUCUUGAAUCCUUCACACUCUUGGUUAAAACAAACACCCUGUUUGCAAAUGGUAUGAGCACAUUUCACCUCAGCAUUUCCCAAAAAGGGAAAUCCAACAUAUCUCCAUUAUUUCUAAGAAACAAAAAAAAACAUACUUAUAGAGCAAAAAGAAGAAGGAGGCAAUCCUAAAGAGACUGGAUACCAAAUAUCCUGCCACUAUGGACAUUUUCUAUAUUUGGUGUAUAGAAACUCCCCACUGCCAAUGACUUAUUUAAGGCUCCUGCUUCUGUGGGUGUCAUGUGAAUAUAUAUGGACAUACAUACACUCUUUUCUAUUCUCACUUCACAAAAUGCUCAGUUAAAACCUGCUGGGUCCAGUCCUGAGUGGCUGACUUGCUGAGGAAAAUUGCUCAGAGUAGACCCAUUGAAAUUAAGAGCGCAAGUUAGGCACAGUCCUUUUCAUUCAUUCAUUCAUUCGAUUUCUAUACCGCCUUUCCAAAAAUGGCUCAGGCCGGUUUACACAGAGAAAUAAUAAAUAAAUAAGAUGGAUCCCUGUCCCCAAAGGGCUCACAAUCUAAAAACAAUCUUUUCAUUUCAAUGAGACUCCUCUGAGUAAUUUCCCGCAUUCUCCUGUCAGCACGGUCCUCUGCUUUCUCACUUGAGACAGUGGUUCUAUCCCUAUACCUCUGUAGUGGGCCCAAAGCCAUAGUAACCCCAAUGGGCUACCUGGAGUAUAAAACAAAACCGCACUUUAUUUCCAGCGCCACAGCUGGACUGGACAUGAAGGAAUCUGUAUUUCAGAAUAUUCCAGCCACACAGUCAUGGCAGAGAAAAUUCUAUACCUCCAUGGUGUUGGGCACUUGUAAAAUAUAACCCCUCAGGCCGAGGACUCCAUGCAAUCACAAAUCUAUCAUUAAUAUAGUCUCCCUUUCCCCUCCUGGAUCCAAAUACCUGGCAUAUCACUUCACAUGGACAAGGCAGCCCAGAAUUUGACUCCUGAGCAGCCCACCUGUUAUCAAUUAUUUUUUAUUCAAUUAAGGUUGGCAGCUUAUAGCAUACAUACCAUAAUAGGGCCUACCAGAACACAGUGAUCAAAGGGGGCCCCUGAAUUUUCAAACGUUGCAUUAUUAUAAGCCCCAACUGAAUGUCUUUUGAGUGGCAAGCUUCCCAUCUCAUCACUGAACUCUUCUAGGAGUUCUAAGAAUACAGCUGUUCAGAAUUAUCUGUAAAAAUAUUGUUGAUACAUACCCCCAAAUCUACCAGGAUUCCUGUGCCAUCUAGAAGUCAAGUGUGCAAAAGAUCUGUAGUCAGGUGGUGUCAAUGCAAUCAUUUUUCAGGCUGGAACUCAAUCUAAAUAAGAUGGAGGUGCUGUUGGUCAAGGGUGAAUUGGGAGAAGUUGUAGAUUUCUAUUCUGUUCUAGAUGAAAUUACAUUUCCCCUGAAAAAGCAGGGAUGCAGCUUUGGGCUGGUCUUUGAUCUGAUUCAUCUUCUAACCAGAGUCUGGUUAGCCAGACAGUGAUGGUGACACUGGCAAGGUGUGCCUUCCCCAGAUGGUAGCUCAGGCAUCAUCUGUGAUCUUUCCCGGAGAAAGCAGAUUUAGCUGCAAUUGAUUUCACCUGAUGAUACUUCUAGGCUUGAUUACAGCAGUGCUCUCGUAGGGCUGCCUUUAAAGACCAUCUGGAAACUUCAAGCUGUCCAAAGUAUCAAAGAUAGGAGUAUAUAAUUCUGGUCUUGCACCAUCUUACUGGUUGUCUGCUUGUUUCCAGGCUCAAUUUAACUGCUGAUUUUAGCCUUUAAGCACCUAAAUGAUUUGGGAGCAGAAUACCUCUGGAACCAUCGGCUCCCACAUGAAGCCGAUCACCACAGAUUGGCCAGAGAAGGUCUCUGUUCCACCCUUGUAUGACAUCAGGCACACAAGACGGAUCUUUCUCAGCGGUGAGAUAAUGGAAUACCUUCUCUGCAGAGAUCACCCUACCCCAUCAAUGGGCAUAUUUAGAUAUAUUUUAGAGAUGUCUAUGCCUUUAACAAACAAUUUGUGUCAUUUUCUAUUUGAAAAGGUGUGCAUCUUGUUGCUAAUUGUUGGUGCCAUGGAGUGCAGGAACCAGGCAGGAAACGGUCAGUGCUGGGAGAUUUGUGGAAGGAAGGAAAAAAAAUAUUCAUGGUAGCUUUUCAAAAUGGAUGCUCUCCUGGCUUCCUGAUCCAUUGACUGUGAGUGUGUAAAGCAAAGGAAAAGACCGGGACAGCCUGCUGUCUUAACACUUAUUAACAACUGAUUCAAUUAAAGAUUCAGUUUGAUCUCUUGUAAGAUGCACACUGUACUUCCCCCACUCAAACAAUGUAAGAAAAGAGAACCGUUAUGAAAGAUUAAAGGCCAGAAUGAUUAAAGAUUAAAGAGCAGUUCCAGAUGACAAAAACAAAACACAAAAAAACACAAUUUGAUUCAUGCUAGAGUUAUGGUAGCCCUGGGCCACCUCCCAUACCAUGAUAUCUUACCCCCAUAUUAUGUGGCAGGGUUUCUUCACUGGGAUCCUAAAAAGGUUUAGACAAAUUAAUAGAACAAGGCUGUAGAACUUUGGCCCUCCAGCUGUUGUCUGACUACAACUCCCAUCAUCCCCAGCCACUGUGGCUGGGGUUGAUGGGAGUUGUAGUCCAACAACAUCUGGGGGGGCUGGAGUCAUGCAGUCCUGUCACAGAGAUAGUUUUUCAGUUAUUAUUACCAUGAUGGGUAAAUGAGGCCUCCAUGCUCAGAGGUGGUAUAUCUGAGUAACAGAUUCCAGGGAGAGAUGAACAUCACCUUCAGACUCUGAAGUUGGCACAGUUUCUGUUCUAGAGACAUCAGCUGGAAAAAGAAUGCUGGACUAGAACCUUUGGUCUUGUAUAACUGAGCUGUUCAUAUGUUCCUAAGCUAAUCAGAUCUAAAUAUGAAGGUAUCUUAGGAAGGAGCUCGAAUCCAUCUGGAUCAAAUUUAAACCCUUGGAAGCAGUGUCCUCCUGUAACAGAGAUUAUCGUUGUUGACUACAACUCCCAUAAUCCCCAGCUGCAAUGGACUUUGGCUGGGGAUAUGGGAGUUAUAAUCAACAACCUCUGGAAAUCAAUGUUACAGAGAGCAUUGCAUGGAAGCUGAGAAUACUUUAAGUCCAUAACAAUCUAAGAAGAGCUAAGCUGGACCAAAGGUCAAUCUCACCAGCAUCCUGCUUCCCACAGUGGCCAACUAGAUCUCUAGUUAGCCUGCAAGUAGCGUCUGAAGGCAAAAACCCAUUCCUGUUGUUGGUCCUCAGCAAGUAAUCAGAGGUAGGCAGUACCUGAAGAUGGAGGUUCCUUUUAUCCAUUCUGCUUAACAGCCAGUGAUGAAUUCACAGAGAAUAGGUCUAUUCCCCGUUGAGUCAUAUCACCCACAUAUAACACUGAUAAUUUAUCCAGCCUCUUUUCAUGUUCUUUUGUUAAGCUGUGAUCCUCUGAAAACCUAGCCAGAAGCAUACAUAUUACAUGACAAAUCAAAUCUCUCAAAGGCAUGUUUAAACAAAGCACUGCAGCCUUCACACUUCCUGUCAGUGAAAAUACUUUAUAUCCCCCUUUUUAUUUACACAAAGUAGUAGAGGGAGCAGAUAUAAAUCUCAUUGCCUUCUAGCCCUUUCGUCACUGUGUGAGAGAUGCAGAAACAAGAUGAAACAUUGUGCAAAUAAAUUGUAAAUUUAAGACGCACGCCCUGUCUGGCAGAAUGCUACAGGGCAUGAGGUGAGGGAUAAACACACAGGGGACACACAACACAUGCUUAAGGAAGGGUUUGGUAAAGUAAAGCCAAAUAAAGUUUAAGGGAUAUUUGGGGCUGGGAUGAAAGUUGCCACGUCUCCCAAUAAUCAGUCCCUGAGACUCAGAAAGUGGAGUUCAAGAACUUAAUGGAGGUGCAUAGCAGGCCAGGGGGUAGAGUUUUGGGCGCAGUCUGGAGACACUCACCCCGUGAGCCAGAAGAUGAUCAAAGACAGGUUCACAAGUAACAGUACUUCUGGGCAGACACACCUUUUCAAGUGACACAUCCAUUCACUGCAUUCCAUGACAGAAAGUAGGCUAGUAGCAGUAACUGAGUGACUGUUUAAGUGCCCUCAAGUCGGUGUUGACUCUUAGCGACCACAUAGAUAGAUUCUCUCCAGGAUGGUCUGUCUGUCUUCAACUUGGCCUUUAAGGUCUCUCAGUGGUGCAUUCAUUGCUGUCGUAAUCGAGUCCAUCCACCUUGCUGCUAGUAAUAGUGGUUAUUAUAAUUAUAAGUACUAUUAUUAAUCUUGAUCAUAGUUUUAACAUAAUAUGCUUCUAGCAUUUUGUAAUUUGUUUUAUAUUUUAUAUAUUUUAGCCACCUUGUUUUUAUAUUUUAAACAUUUUAAAGAUAGAUGCUUACUACUCUGAAUAUAAUCUUAGUAAUUUUAUAGCUUUGCUUUUUCAUAUCCUUAUCUUGCUACAACUGUUUUGAGCUGCAGUAGUAGUUUUAUGGCAUCUUGAUAGUAAUUUUAACAUAAUAUGCUCUUAUUGCUUUGCUGUUUGUUUUAUCUUAAUGUAAUGUCUCAUAAUUUGCUAUCUUAUGUUGGUCUCUCUUGGACCAUAAUAAAGAUGAUUUUUUAUUAAUUAUACUACUA
Molecule: long non-coding RNA, 14337 nt
Organism: Hemicordylus capensis (graceful crag lizard)
Lineage: Eukaryota; Metazoa; Chordata; Lepidosauria; Squamata; Cordylidae
Exons: 5
Source: RefSeq, a predicted model, not a curated record